Molecule: long non-coding RNA, 922 nt
Organism: Marmota monax (woodchuck)
Lineage: Eukaryota; Metazoa; Chordata; Mammalia; Rodentia; Sciuridae
Exons: 2
Source: RefSeq, a predicted model, not a curated record
UUCGAUCCCGGGAGACUCCGGAUGCCAGACGCGCUCGGCGGCGGCGGCGGCGACCGCGCCUGAUUCAUUGCGCCAAAGCUGCAGAUGCGACCUCCCGCCUGCGCCCGGUGCCCCGGCCCGCGCCGGGCCGCGCGCGCGCCUGGAGAGAUGGGGCUGCGGGGUGGGGGGGGACCGCGCAAUUUGUAGGCGCUUUCCUCUCCCCACAAAAGGCGGGCCCUGGCCCCCCGGGGCCAGGUCCCCUGUCUCCAGCUCCCCGGGCUGCGCUAAUUAGCUUUCUCCGGGGGCGCCACGCGGCGUGAGGGGCGGCAAUUUCCCGGCUGGGCUGCGGGGGAAGCACUCCUGCCGCCUGGGAAGUGCACGGUCUCCAUGGCAACCGCGGAGGAGGUCACGGUAGCUGGGCCCCCGCGCGUCACCCCGCGCCUCGCCGGCUGCAGGCGCCCGGAUUGCGGCCUCCCAGGCGCCGUGGCCCGCGUGGACCCAGCUCUGAGUUCUCCGCCCCCGCUCCGCCCUGCCAGAGACUCAGGCCCCAUACCAUAUGACUCUGCCGGGUCCCAGCCGGGAAUAUCGCACCUGGGCACCAGUGCGCUAAGCUAUGCCUCUGUCCCCGGGCUCUGGCACGCGGGACUGCGCCUCGAAACACGUGUCCAACCCCGGGAUGGGAACAUGUGCGGCAAGACGCCACUGAGGGCCUCAGCACUUGUGGAUGCCCUAGGGAAUCGACCUGGAUUGGCGCACCACUCUGGAGCUCUUGCCAAGACGGCACCACCCGUGGCUAAGAAGGCUGACUGUGGUGUCAGAACCGAACGUUCCUAAUGAUUUACUAGCUGUGUGACUUUAAGCAAGUUACAACCUUUCUGCGUCUCAGUUUGUUCAUCAGAGAAAUGGAAUUGUUGUGAGACUAAAAAGUCCGUUUAACGCUUAA